CAGGACUUUGUUUACCAUGGCCUGGCUGUGCUCUUCUACCUCAGUGCAGGAGUGGAUUUGGCUUUUAUUACCAUGUUGAGGAAAGGGUCUGUGUUCAAACUCUAUCAGAUCAACAUUGCUGCUGUGGUUUUCGCCUUCUUGUCCGUCCUCCUCUACUUCAUCCACGCCAUCCUGUCCGCCAUUAGAUGGAAACAGUUCUAAAGGACGACAUCCCAUCGCAAAACCACCGUCUUAUCACAAAAUGAAUGCCAUUGUAUGAUUGACGUCACAUUAUUGUACUUUGGAAGGACAUUUAAUGAAGGUAAAACGGGAGAUUGAGCUCCAGAGACGGUAUUUAAAACAAUCACAGAAAUAAAUGAUGUUUUAUGUAACAUAAUUGGUACUACGCACAACAAAUAUUAUUUUUGAUAUUAAUGUAGUUCACUUUUUUGACGUAGUGUGGCACUCUUACCACACAAAUGUAACAACUACGCCCCUUACUGUUUCCUGGCAUCUUCUUUAAAACUGCCACUUUUUUUCAGCCUUUUUAUAGAUUUAGUCGUAAAAUGUUUUUUAUGUUCAGUUAGAAUUAAAUUCAGAAAUGUAGUAGAUAGAGUUAAAAAGUGACAUAUCUUCAUUUUUAUACAUUCAAUAAUAAAAACAAAAAAUAUACCAUAAACAUUGUGGUCUGGUUUUAUUUUCUCCAAUUUUCCUCAUAUAUUUCUCUCUCUCUCACACACACACAAACAUAUUUCUACCUACAAGACACUGGUGUUUGGUUACAUUCGGGAAAACAUGACAUGUGAGGUUUGACCAUGGUUUAAGAUUAACAUUGUAGUAACUUUGAGUUCAGCAUUUUUAGAGUUACAUAAUGUUUAUUUGAUACUUUAACAUAUUUUUACAUCAUUACAGACAACGUCAUUUUGACAUUUCCAUUUUUUUAAGAGUCCUUUGUGGAAAUAAUCCACGUUUUCCAAUCAGUAUAAAAAGACCAACAUCACUUUAAAGAGCCACAGAUCAUCAGACUCU
Long non-coding RNA from Cynoglossus semilaevis (tongue sole), 1008 nucleotides. RefSeq lists it as uncharacterized. NCBI's taxonomy places the organism in Eukaryota, Metazoa, Chordata, Actinopteri, Pleuronectiformes, Cynoglossidae. The transcript has 2 exons. The record is from RefSeq and is a predicted model, not a curated record.